UACGAAGGGGGCUAGCGUUGCUCGGAAUUACUGGGCGUAAAGCGCACGUAGGCGGCUUUCUAAGUCGGGGGUGAAAUCCUGGAGCUCAACUCCAGAACUGCCUUCGAUACUGGAAAGCUCGAGUCCGGGAGAGGUGAGUGGAACUGCGAGUGUAGAGGUGAAAUUCGUAGAUAUUCGCAAGAACACCAGCGGCGAAGGCGGCUCACUGGCCCGGUACUGACGCUGAGGUGCGAAAGCGUGGGGAGCAAACAGG
RNAcentral lists this ribosomal RNA (253 nucleotides) under uncultured bacterium. RNAcentral describes it as "partial 16S ribosomal RNA". It matches the Rfam family "Bacterial small subunit ribosomal RNA", at positions 524 to 776 of the family's 1533-position model. The record is from RNAcentral.